AUUAGCUAUGAUACAUCACCAAAACUACAAGCCCUUAUGUUGGGCCUGUCAGGUGUACCUUCAUCAUUAGAUUGCCAAGGACAUCUGUGCUAGAUUUUUAGCAGCUUCUGGCCUGUUAUUAUUUGGAUGCAGAAGAAGAAACAAGUCUCUCCAUCUCCAGGCUGGGCUGCCUUCUUUCAUGGAUUUAGAAGCUCAAAGCGAGAACUGUGAUCCCCAGAUGGCCAGAAACAUUGUUCAGGCUGGAGUUUCCAGAGAGGACAGAGAUGAUGACUCAACUCUCCUGAGCAGCCUGUUCCAGUGCUUGACAGCUCUUUGACUGAAGACAUUUUUCCUAAUAUCCAAUCUAAACCAGGGAUGAUGCGACUUGAAGCCAUUUCCUCUGGUCCUACUGCUUGUGACUCAGGAGGCAUUCUGCUCACUUCUAUGAAAUAGAGAGACUUGAAGCAUGUGAUUUAUGUGUUUUCAGGUGCAUGUGCACACACACAUAUGCAAAACUUAGAUAUUUCAGUCAAAUAUUUCUGAGAUUAAAAAUUUAUACGACAUCAGAUACCUAAAGUAUCAACUGAUGGAUGUAUCUAUGACUCUUAAUGAAAUCAAAUGUGAAUUAGGCCUGCUGGAAGGCUACAGCCUACCUUUGGACAAGCGUGUUAUUUAUUUUUAGUGCUGGAAUUAAUUCACAAGCUUGCUUAAUGGUGCUGUCAAAACAAAUACAUUUUGCAGAAGA
This is a long non-coding RNA of Passer domesticus (house sparrow), 724 nucleotides long. RefSeq lists it as uncharacterized. The record is from RefSeq and is a predicted model, not a curated record. NCBI's taxonomy places the organism in Eukaryota, Metazoa, Chordata, Aves, Passeriformes, Passeridae. The transcript is spliced from 3 exons.